GAAAAACAAAAGUCCCUUGUGCCGUUUUCUCAGUAUGAAGCGAACAAGCUUUUUUUUAUUAUUAUUAUUUUUUUAUAUUGAAAUGAUCUGAAGAACAGAUACGGUGAUAAACCGAAACUGAAAGAAAGCCGCAACAACAACAACAACAUAUGAACAAUCUCAAAGGCAAACAAGAACCCCCGGACCCUCUCCCUCCCUGCAGGUGGAUCCGUCCUACCAGAAGAAGAAGCCCCGGUCCCCUUGCCUCCCUUUUACCCCUCAGACCCUCCACACAGCAGGACUGAGAGCUUCUUUCCCCAGGCAAUCAGACUUCUCAACACACAAGCACUCAAUUUAUAUUGAUUCUCCCAGCUGUAAUAUGUGUAAUAAGUAUAUUCUCCACCUCAGUUACUGCUGUGUCACGCAAAUUUAGAUUGCACUGUUGGUAUUGCCUGCACUAUAUUGUCUGUUCAUGUUCUAGUUCUAUUCUAAUUUGUUUCUACUUUUGCACUUUGUCAUCUACAUCAUAUUGUUU
This 514-nucleotide long non-coding RNA is filed under the name Astyanax mexicanus (Mexican tetra). RNAcentral's name for it is "lncRNA (ENSAMXG00005015481.1)". The record is from RNAcentral. Lineage: Eukaryota; Metazoa; Chordata; Actinopteri; Characiformes; Acestrorhamphidae.